GCGUCUGUAGCCUAGUUGGUAAAGGCAGCACUUUAGUAUGUGUCUCAGCAUAGCUGAGGUCGUGAGUUCGACUCUCACCAGACACA
This 86-nucleotide transfer RNA is filed under the name Puccinia triticina. RNAcentral describes it as "tRNA-Thr". It matches the Rfam family "tRNA". Rfam says of the family: Transfer RNA (tRNA) molecules are approximately 80 nucleotides in length. Their secondary structure includes four short double-helical elements and three loops (D, anti-codon, and T loops). Further hydrogen bonds mediate the characteristic L-shaped molecular structure. tRNAs have two regions of fundamental functional importance: the anti-codon, which is responsible for specific mRNA codon recognition, and the 3' end, to which the tRNAs corresponding amino acid is attached (by aminoacyl-tRNA synthetases). tRNAs cope with the degeneracy of the genetic code in two manners: having more than one tRNA (with a specific anti-codon) for a particular amino acid; and 'wobble' base-pairing, i.e. permitting non-standard base-pairing at the 3rd anti-codon position. The record is from RNAcentral. Lineage: Eukaryota; Fungi; Basidiomycota; Pucciniomycetes; Pucciniales; Pucciniaceae.